Molecule: long non-coding RNA, 420 nt
Organism: Cuculus canorus (common cuckoo)
Lineage: Eukaryota; Metazoa; Chordata; Aves; Cuculiformes; Cuculidae
Exons: 3
Source: RefSeq, a predicted model, not a curated record
CCCCCCCGAUAUCCCGGACCCCCCCCAGUCCCGGACCCUCCGGUCCCGGUACCACGAGGCUAUAGGAGAGAUGGAAGGCCGGAGCUCAGCCAAUGGAGAUGGAGGAGGAUCUGAAGGUGCUCCCAAUGAAGAUGGAGGAUCCGGAGGUGCUCCCAAUGAAGAUGGAGGAGGAUCUGAAGGUGCCGCCAAUGGAGAUGGAGGAUCCGGAGGUGCCUCCAAUGAAGAUGGAGGAGGAUCAGAAGGUGCCGCCAAUGAAGAUGGAGGAUCCGGAGGUGCUCUCAGUGAAGAUGGAGGAUCCGUUUCUCCCCGCGGGGACCCCUGGGAUUGGUCGAGGCGGGAGGCGUGGCUGUGGGCUCUGGAGGAGGAGGAGGAGGAGCAAUGGGAGCCGUGGGUGGGGCUGGGGGCGUGGCCACCGGAGGA